Molecule: ribosomal RNA, 438 nt
Filed under: Pseudomonas fluorescens
Lineage: Bacteria; Pseudomonadati; Pseudomonadota; Gammaproteobacteria; Pseudomonadales; Pseudomonadaceae
Description: bacterial SSU rRNA
Rfam family: Bacterial small subunit ribosomal RNA
Source: RNAcentral
AGCAGUGGGGAAUAUUGGACAAUGGGCGAAAGCCUGAUCCAGCCAUGCCGCGUGUGUGAAGAAGGUCUUCGGAUUGUAAAGCACUUUAAGUUGGGAGGAAGGGCAGUUACUUAAUACGUGACUGUCUUGACGUUACCGACAGAAUAAGCACCGGCUAACUCUGUGCCAGCAGCCGCGGUAAUACAGAGGGUGCAAGCGUUAAUCGGAAUUACUGGGCGUAAAGCGCGCGUAGGUGGUUCGUUAAGUUGGAUGUGAAAUCCCCGGGCUCAACCUGGGAACUGCAUUCAAAACUGUCGAGCUAGAGUAUGGUAGAGGGUGGUGGAAUUUCCUGUGUAGCGGUGAAAUGCGUAGAUAUAGGAAGGAACACCAGUGGCGAAGGCGACCACCUGGACUGAUACUGACACUGAGGUGCGAAAGCGUGGGGAGCAAACAGGAUUA